CAACUGAAGUACGUUUUACCCUGUUUAGCGACGUGAUGGCCAUGGACGGGGACAUAGAUCAGUUGACUAUCGUGGCGAAUAAUAACAUUUCUAUCAACUGUUGGGCAGAGUGCUAUCCAACUUGUCUCAUCAACUGGUACAGGACAAGCCCCAUCAGCGAUCCUCUCCCAACUCGGAAUGGUGAACUCAUCUGGCUGAUGGCCAGGGCAGACCAGACCGGUAAUUAUUACUGCACCGCCAUCAACCCGCAACUCACGGAUCAAAGAAAAGUGAAAGCUAUUGAUGUGGCGAUUAUCAUGCCUAAAUUCUAAUCGCAGCUUAAGUGGAGGUUUUCAAAUUGAAAAUACAAAAGCUGAUGUCUGGUACACAACUAAAAUAGACCAGGAGGUUGAUUUGUAAAUACUGUAAUACUUGAAAAGGUGAAGAGGAGAAUAUAAUAACGGAAAUAUACACGUUAUUGAUCUGAAAAUUAUUUAAAUUUGUCAGAUUAUUUUUUUUUAAUUUGAUUGAUGUUAAAUUUUAAAAUGGCCAGUUUAAAAUUGAAUUAUGACCAAAUGAAGUUUGACAAUUAUCGUAAAGUGCUUGGGGUAAACAAAUAGCAAUUUAUUUUCAUCAGUCUAUCCAAACAUUUUUUACUUCUAAGAUUUGUUGUGAACUUUCCGGCCAUUUAAUCUUAUGCCAUAUAAACAAAAUUUAAAAAUAAAUGGAAUUAAUACGGUAUUUAAUCUUAUGUCAUAUAAACAACAUUUAAAAAAUAAAUGGAAUUAAAAUGGUAUUUUUGUAAAAGUGCAUUCAGUUGCAUUAAUUCCACUGUUUAGUUGUAUGCACGUAUUAUUGUAUUCCGGGUAUUUUGGGUACAUUGUGUAUUAUUUUAUUUUAUAACGGUACUGAUAUUUAUUAUUAUUUUUAUCGUAUCACCACUGUAUUAUUUUUAAGGAUCUUUGAUAAAUAUUUUUAGUAAUAUGUUUUGAAAGAGUUUGUCUAAUGUAUAACGUCAAUGAGAAAGAAAACAUUUGCCCUAGAAAGUCGUGAACCUAGCAGAAUCCACGAAUAAUAUUCACAAAAAUAGAUGAAGCCUUUUCAUUGGUUCAGUUUUAAAAUCGUAGCACACAUUUCAACUCUUAGCCAAUGAAAAGCCUGCAUUCUUUAAAAAAAAGGUUUUCUUGAAUCAGGCCCCAGGUUGGUAUAUAGUACACGUACAUUUAUUCGUUGGAGGUUUAUAUAAUCGUAUAUGUAUUGUACAAAACAUUUAUUUCACGUCUUAUUAUUUAUCAUGUAUAAUUAUCUAUCUUCGGUUGCCGGUGUGGUGAAUUAUCUCCCUUGAUUUUGAGAUAGUAUAUUGAUAUAUCUACUUGGUUGUAAACUUUACGUACGAGCGAAAUAUGCUUAUUUGUGUAUUCAAAGGUUAUAUAAAUUAUUAAGGAAUUAAACAACUCUCUAGAUCAUCGAGUGACCGUUAUUUUGUAUCGAUUAAAGCACAAUCACUAUUUAAUAAUUUAAUGUAAAACGGAAUAAUCGAGACAAUGUUGCUUGACAAUGGGGGCUAUAAUGUGAAAACUUCAAGCACUCAUAUCUUCACUCAGGAUCAAGUAAUUUUCAAUAUAUCUAUUUUUGUCAAUUUCUGAACUAUUAUAGCAAGCACGGUGAGCUCUGAAUCUAAAUGUUACAUAAUUUAUCUUCAAUAUUAUUUUGGAAAGAGAGUUUCCAUCUUCAAUAGAAGGAACAGUACAAUAUUGGCAUCCAUAAUCUACCCGGCCUCAGUGACAUAGAUCUAUAGGCUAAAAUUGAUAAAAGAAAGAAGCUAUUUCAUAUAAAAAUCACAACGACGGACAAAUUGUUUUGGUAAUGACAUUGGAAACUAUAUAAAUAAAUCUGAUUUGUACACAA
Patella vulgata (common limpet) is the source of this 1887-nucleotide long non-coding RNA. RefSeq lists it as uncharacterized. NCBI's taxonomy places the organism in Eukaryota, Metazoa, Mollusca, Gastropoda, Patellidae. The transcript is spliced from 2 exons. The record is from RefSeq and is a predicted model, not a curated record.